UAAGUCCUCUUGUAAAGCUGCCCUCCAAGUCCCAAACCCAAAACCAAGAGAUCCAAGAACACAACAAGAUUCCAACUCCUCAAAUCUUUGAACUUUUUAACCUUUCGAAUCACCAUCUUCUUCUCUGCACGGGAUUCUUGAUGGUGUUUCCAGAGCGGAGAAGCUGGUGAUUCGUGUUUUAAAGCUUGUGGGGUACCCGCAACAAUGGAGGGUGACAAGGGCGAAAGCAAUGGUAGUGGUGGUGGUGAGACUGCAACAGAGAAGAAGAAGAAGACAGUGCCUAAAGAAGAAGCAGAGGAGGCUCUAAAGAAAUGUUUAAAAGAGAACAAAGGAGAUCAUAUAAAAUGCAAGGCAAAAAUAGAAGCUUUUCUAUCUUCUUCUUCUACUUCUCAAAACCCUCCUCCACCUCCAAGACAAUCAAUCGGGCCUUUUAGGCGCAAGAGAGGUUCUUUAACAGAUGUUUGAAGAAAUUAACGGCUACCAAGCUUGAAAAAGAGGAUUCAUGGCAACCCAUAUGAAUGUUGAAUGUGAUUCUUGAAAGAAUUGAAAGGUGUCCAAAGAUGUCUGUGACAACUCUGGAUACCUCUGCUUCAAACAAAACAACAAGCUCUCUGCUCUUCCAGCCAAAAAAUGGUUCUUGUCGAUUCUAUCUGUGUCAGACAUGAGAUCUUUCACCAUGUC
Long non-coding RNA from Carica papaya (papaya), 681 nucleotides. RefSeq lists it as uncharacterized. Lineage: Eukaryota; Viridiplantae; Streptophyta; Magnoliopsida; Brassicales; Caricaceae. The record is from RefSeq and is a predicted model, not a curated record.